RNAcentral lists this long non-coding RNA (362 nucleotides) under Ananas comosus (pineapple). RNAcentral's name for it is "long non-coding RNA (ACOM_LNC037840)". The record is from RNAcentral. Lineage: Eukaryota; Viridiplantae; Streptophyta; Magnoliopsida; Poales; Bromeliaceae.
CCAAAUUUGAAAUGUUUUUAAAAAAGGAAAAUUCCAAAACCCCCCUGUGGUUUCGUACUUUCUCACUUUAGUAUCCUGUAGCUUAAAAUGUAUCAAUUUGCCCCCCUGUGGUUUUAUUUUUUAACUUUUUUAUAGCUUUUUUUUUUAUAUUUCAUUAAAUUAUAUAAAAAAAACUUCAGAUACCCAUAUAGAUUUAAUGAAUAUUUAUUUUAGUACCUCUUUAAUUUUAAUUUUAUCACUGAUUUAAGAAAAAAAAAAUUGAUAAAAAAGAGAAAAAUGAAACCAUAAGGGAUAAAUUGAUACACUUUAAAUCACAGGGUAUUAAAGUGAGAAAGUACGAAACCGGAGAUUUUUGAAGUUAU